UACGUAGGUGGCAAGCGUUGUCCGGAAUUAUUGGGCGUAAAGCGCGCGCAGGCGGUCUUUUAAGUCUGAUGUGAAAGCCCACGGCUCAACCGUGGAGGGUCAUUGGAAACUGGGGGACUUGAGUGCAGAAGAGGAAAGUGGAAUUCCACGUGUAGCGGUGAAAUGCGUAGAGAUGUGGAGGAACACCAGUGGCGAAGGCGACUUUCUGGUCUGUAACUGACGCUGAGGCGCGAAAGCGUGGGGAGCAAACAGG
Molecule: ribosomal RNA, 253 nt
Filed under: uncultured bacterium
Lineage: Bacteria
Description: partial 16S ribosomal RNA
Rfam family: Bacterial small subunit ribosomal RNA
Source: RNAcentral